UACGGGGGGAGCAAGCGUUGUUCGGAUUUACUGGGCGUAAAGGGCGCGUAGGCGGCGCAACAAGUCACUUGUGAAAUCUCCGGGCUUAACCCGGAGCGGCCAAGUGAUACUGUCGUACUAGAGUGCGGAAGGGGCUACUGGAAUUCUCGGUGUAGCGGUGAAAUGCGUAGAUAUCCGAAGGAACACCGGUGGCGAAAGCGGCGCGCUGGAUCUCUACUGACGCUGAGGCGCGAAAGCCAGGGGAGCAAACGGG
RNAcentral lists this ribosomal RNA (253 nucleotides) under uncultured bacterium. RNAcentral's name for it is "partial 16S ribosomal RNA". It matches the Rfam family "Bacterial small subunit ribosomal RNA", at positions 524 to 776 of the family's 1533-position model. The record is from RNAcentral.